This is a long non-coding RNA of Rhinopithecus roxellana (golden snub-nosed monkey), 2667 nucleotides long. NCBI's taxonomy places the organism in Eukaryota, Metazoa, Chordata, Mammalia, Primates, Cercopithecidae. The record is from Ensembl.
ACUCAGUAGAGGAAGUUGAGAUGGAGCAGUCACAGGAACAAUAAAUACCUCCACCUUGCCUGGGCCCGGAGCCACAGGAGACCCUGCAGAAGGUGAAGAAUGUUCUGGAACAAUGCAAGUCCUGCCCAGGCUGCCCCCAGGAGCCAGCGUCCUGGGGUCUCUGUGCGGCAUCCAGCAACAUGAGCUUGCAGGAUCCUGAGGAGCCCUCCUUCUGCUUGGAAGCUGAGGACGACUGGGAAGACCCAGAGGCCAUGAGCUCACUGCUGCUGUUCCUGAACGCCCCCGGGUACAAGGCCAGCUUCCGUGGCCUGUAUGAUGUGGCGCUGCCAUGGCUGAGCAGCGUGUUCUGCAGCUUUAGCGACAAGAGGAGCUGACUGGGCGCCUGGCACAGGCCCGAGGGGCGGCCAAGAAAGCUGGCCUCCUCAUGGCCCUGGCCAGGCUCUGCUUCCUCCUGGGGUGGCUGCGCUGCAGGAGGCUCAAGCUGUCCCAGGCCCGGGUGUACUUUGAGGAAGCACUGGGGGCCCUGGAGGGAAGCUUCGGGAACCUGUUCUAGGUGGUGGCUGUGUACGCCAACCUGACCAGCAUUUACCGGAAGCAGAAGAACCGGGAGAAGUGUACACAGGUGGUUCCCAAAGCCAUGGCCCUGCUUCUGGGGAUGCCUGGCCACAUCUGCAGCACUGAGGCAGAGGGGGAGCUCCAGAAGCUGGCACUGCGGUGGGCGGUGGGCGGCCAGAACCUGCAGGCUGAGGCGUGGGCCUGCUUCCUGCUGGUCAGGCACCACGUGUACCUCAAGCAGCCCGAGGAGGCCCUGCCCUUCCUAGAGUGGCUGCUGCUUUUGCACAGGGACUCAGGAGCCCCAAAGGCUGCGUAGCUCUCAGACCGCUCCCUACUCCUGGCUGACAUCUACAGCCGCAAGUGCCUGCCCCACCUGGUGCUGAGCUGUGUCAAGAUGGCCUCAUUGAGGGCACAGGACUCGUGGGCCUGCUCGCUGAGGAGCAUGAACCUGGUGCUCCAGAACGUCCUCCAGCCCUACAACCUCCCCACCCAGACUUCCCACUACCUCAGGCGAGCGCUGGCCUCCCUAACCCCAGGCACAGGCCAGGGAGUGCGCAGCCUUCUCCACCUCAGCCUGGCCCAGCUGUACAGCCACCAUGGCUACCAUGGCCCGGCCAUCACCUUCAUGAUGCAAGCCAGUGCUGUUGCCAGAGUCCGUGCCAUUGUGGACUGCCUGGUGGCUCUGGCCUGGCUGCAUGUGCUUCAUGGGCAGGGCCCGGUGGCCCUGGACAUCCUGCAGUCUGUCCAGGAUGCAGUGGUGGCCAGCGAGGACCAGGAGGGCGUGAAUGCCAACAUGGUGGCCGUGGCUCUGAAGAGGAUGGGCUGGACGAGGCAGGCAGCCAAAGGCUACUACCGUACCCUGCGGGCGGCUCAGGACCUGGGCCUGCGGAGGAACCAGGCAGUGGUGCUGGCCAACUUCGGGGCCCUGUGCCUGCACAUGGGUGCCAGCAGGCUGGCCCAGCACUACCUCCUGGAGGCCGUGCAGCUGUUCUCGAGGCUGCCCUGCAGGGAGUGUGGCCGGGACUUCACCCACGUGCUCCUGCAGCUGGGCCACCUCUGCACCCAUCAGGGCCCGGCCCAGCAGGGCAAGGGCUACUACGAGUGGAUCCUUCUGGUCGCUGUAGAGAUGGGCCACCUGGAGAGGCCUACAAAUCCGCUUUGGACUACACGAAACGAAGUCUGGGGAUUUUCGUCGACCUCCAGAAGAAAGAGGAGGCGGCACAUGCCUGGCUGCAAGCAGGGAAGAUCUAUUACAUCCUGCAGCAGAGCAAGCUGGUGGACCUGUACAUCCAGUGGCCAGCAUCUUCUCCCUGAGGGCAGAGGCGUGGCCACUCAGUUAACACACAGAAGAACCUGCUCCAAGCGACACGUGGUACAUCUCCUUACAAAAUGCAUCUAUUGUAGCGGCUGUCUUCAGAGGCUUUCCCAAACACGGUGGCACAGAAUGUGGCCUUGUACACAGGCGACCCCAACCUCGGGCUGGAGCUGCUUGAGGCAGCUGGAGACAUCGUCCAUGGGGCCUGGGAGCGGGAGAAAGCCGUGUCCUACCAGGGAACGAGCGCAUGGCCUACCACCGGCUGGGCCAUGGCAAGCUGGCGGAGCACUUCUACCUCAAGGCCCUGUCGCUCUGCAACUCGCCGCUGGAGUUCGACGAGGAGACCCUCUACUACGUGAAGGUGUACCUGGUGCUCAGUGACAUCAUCUACGACCUGAAGGACCCGUUUGAUGCAGCCGGGUACUACCAGCUGGUACUGGCAGCCACCGUGUGCCUGGUCAACAAGAAGGCACAGCUGAAGAUCUACACGCGGCCGGCCACCAUCUCCCACAGCUUCCUCCUGGACCGCGAGAAGUCGCUCUUCUUCUACCAGAAGGCCAGGACCUUCGCCACAGAGCUCAACAUCUGCAGGGUCAACCUGCCUCCUCUGCCACUCUGCGGGUGGGCCCCCUGGUUGGCCCCAGCCACCCUCGCUGAGGACAGCAUCCGAGGAAGUGGGUUUGUGCGGGGAAGAUGGUCUCCUGCCUCUCCUGGUGUCUCCCGUGGCUCAUUUUCUGGGAAAUGGAGGCAUGAAAGGAGGGGUCAAAUAGCAAUAAAUGUUUUUUUUUUUUUUUUUG